AAAUUGAAGAGUUUGAUCAUGGCUCAGAUUGAACGCUGGCGGCAGGCCUAACACAUGCAAGUCGAACGGUAACAGGAAUCAGCUUGCUGAUUCGCUGACGAGUGGCGGACGG
Molecule: ribosomal RNA, 112 nt
Filed under: Escherichia coli
Lineage: Bacteria; Pseudomonadati; Pseudomonadota; Gammaproteobacteria; Enterobacterales; Enterobacteriaceae
Description: partial 16S ribosomal RNA
Rfam family: Bacterial small subunit ribosomal RNA
Source: RNAcentral